This 214-nucleotide ribosomal RNA is filed under the name Phyllopsora chlorophaea. RNAcentral's name for it is "partial small subunit ribosomal RNA". It matches the Rfam family "Bacterial small subunit ribosomal RNA", at positions 947 to 1210 of the family's 1533-position model. Lineage: Eukaryota; Fungi; Ascomycota; Lecanoromycetes; Lecanorales; Ramalinaceae. The record is from RNAcentral.
UAAUUUGAUAAUCCGCAAAAAACCUUACCACAGCUUGAAUAUUUAUAUUUUUAUUUACAAGCGUUGCACGGCUGUCUUCAGUUAAUGUCGUGAGACUUUGGUUAGAUCCAUUAAAUUAACGUAAGCCCUUACUUUAUUUAUAAAUAAAGUCGUUCCCCACUAUAUUGGAUAUGAUAACAGGGACUAAGACAAGUCAUCAUGGCCUUAAUGCUGU